UCCAUUAUCCAAAUAGAUUGCAAACUCAAAUAAAUCAAGUGCUAACAAAUUUUCAUAAUCUCCAAAUCUCAACUUCAAACUUAUAAAAAAAAAUAUAUUUAAAAGCUCAAUAUCUAAAUAGCUUCCAAAAACCAAAUAAUCCAAAGGAACAUAAACUCAUAAGCUAACAAUGUCCAAAUAACAUCCUAAGCAAAAUCUUAAUGAUGACCAUUCCCCGACCUAGCUAUCAAUCCUCGCCCGAACUAAGGGUGCCUGAAAAGUAAUCAACAAAUAAGAAUGAGCUCAAAGCCCAAUAAGGAAUAUUAAUGCAGUCCAUGGAUCAAAUAUUUCAAGUUCACUUGCAAAAUAGGAGAUAUUAUUAUUAAUUAUUUUCAUAAACUUUUGAGUCAGUUUUGCCAAUACAUUCAAAACUUUUAAUUGUACACUUUCAUUUCUGAUUCAAACAUUUUCAUAUCAAAUUCAGUCAUAACAUUCAAAUCAUUUAUUUACUCUGGUAAUCAACCAUCAAAUAGUGCCCAAUUAGGUGGGACUUUUUAAAUAGGUGGCUAGCCUCAAAUUGUUCCUUUAAGGUGGACGGAACCAAACACUAGUAGUACUAGUAACCUCUAACCAAACCCCUAGAGGCUAAGGUCCAAAUCAAUUACAUUUCUCACCAAGAAAUGUAAAGGUGAACUAUUAUAUCACAUUGACAAGGGCCAAAAAGUCAAAAGUAAACUAUUAUAUCCAGUUGACAAGGGCCAAACAAACCAAAGUCAAAUACUUAUUUCAAUUAUUCAAAUUUGUAAAACAUAAUAUCUCCACAUUUCUCUCUUAUAAACAAAAUGUAAGUUUCUAAUAUAUUUUUCAUGCAAAACAUAUUUGAUCAAUGCAUAAAACGAAUAAUAACUCAAAAUGUUUCCAAAUGAUGUAUAUAAAAAUUUGUUUCUAAAAAAAACAACUACAUUAAUUUCCCUUACCUCAAAAGAAGUCCUAAAAAACUUUUGAGAAAAAUAAUCCUGAAAAUCUACUCUUCACCUAACAAAAUAUAAGAUAAUUAAUAACCAUUACUAUUUAUCUAAAAUUAUAGGUUUGACAAUCCUAAAAUUUUAGGUAUUCGAAUUAAUGUUUUUUUUUUAAUUAUGAAAGAUAAUUUAAUCUAUUCCUAUUUUAGAAAAUUUAAUAAAUUUCUAAUUCAUAUAAAACUUAAAUUUUAUUUUCAAUUUAUUUCUUGGGACACAACAUAAUUUAAUUAAAUUGUAAUUUAUUUCACUAAUUAAAUUCUAUGCUAUUUAUUAACUUACACCCAUAAUUAAUAUAAUUAUAAUACCAAAAACUUUACUUUCUUUUAUUUAUAAAUUAUAUUUUCUCACUUUCAAGUUUUUUUUUUUUUUUUCACCAAACAUAGCCUAUACACAACAACUCUCCUUCAUUGCUAAUAUAUAUAUAUUAACCAACCUAAUACCAUCUGUACACAUCUUCUUUUAUUAAAUAAUACAGUACCCAUCAAAGUCUAAUAACACAAAGCCCUGCCAUUAUUAAAUAAUACAGUACUCAAUACUCAAGUACCCAUCAAAGUCUAAUAAUAUGGAGUCCUGCUAUUAUUAAAUAUUACAUACCCAAGUAUCCAUAAAAGUCUAAUAAUAGAGUAUGUGAAAAUCCACCAACUAGAUUUCAACCAUGAAAUCCUUACAAAAAAAAGUGGAUGCACAGUUCCCACACGCAUGCAACCAAUGCAACCUUCUAUUUUCCAGUGCACACAUGUUCUUUUUUUUUGUUAAAUCAAAUUGUAUUUUUCUAAUCCCUUAAGCCACAAUUAACAAUAUAUUUAUUUAUUAUUAUUUUAAAAAAAAAUAUUAACCCUUACCUAAAUCGAAAUCUUCAAAAGAAUUUUUUCUUUCAUCUAAAAACUUAAGAUUUACCAAUUUCCAACAAUAAAUCAAAAUCUUAAAUUUUCACUAUUUUGAUAUUAAAACAAAUUAAAAAAAAUAAACUAACCCUAAUCUAGAUUUGGGUUUUCCAAAAGAUAUCUAACGUGUUUGAAAUUAACCAAUGAAUUUAAAAUAUUAAUUUAUGGGUUAGAAUCUUACCUAUAGAGAUCUGUUCUUCAAACCCUAAAAUUCGACUCCAAUCUUACGUUCUC
This 2119-nucleotide long non-coding RNA is filed under the name Vitis vinifera (wine grape). RNAcentral describes it as "long non-coding RNA (VVIN_LNC004472)". Lineage: Eukaryota; Viridiplantae; Streptophyta; Magnoliopsida; Vitales; Vitaceae. The record is from RNAcentral.